GAGGAUGUAGCUCAGUAGUAGAGCACUUGCCUUGCAUGUGUAAGGCCCUAGGUUUGUCUCCCAGCAUCACCA
This 72-nucleotide transfer RNA is filed under the name Fukomys damarensis (Damara mole-rat). It matches the Rfam family "tRNA". From Rfam's summary of the family: Transfer RNA (tRNA) molecules are approximately 80 nucleotides in length. Their secondary structure includes four short double-helical elements and three loops (D, anti-codon, and T loops). Lineage: Eukaryota; Metazoa; Chordata; Mammalia; Rodentia; Bathyergidae. The record is from Rfam by way of RNAcentral.